GCCGGAAUAGCUUAGUUGGGAGAGCGUUAGACUAAGUAUCUAAAGGCCCCUGGUUUUAUCCCGGGUUCCGGCA
Molecule: non-coding RNA, 73 nt
Organism: Dreissena polymorpha
Lineage: Eukaryota; Metazoa; Mollusca; Bivalvia; Myida; Dreissenidae
Source: the annotation of a RefSeq genome assembly